UACGGGGGGUGCAAGCGUUAAUCGGAAUCACUGGGCGUAAAGGGUGCGUAGGCGGUGCAUUAGGUCUGUCGUGAAAUCCCCGGGCUCAACCUGGGAAUGGCGGUGGAAACCGGUGUACUAGAGUAUGGGAGAGGGUGGUGGAAUUCCAGGUGUAGCGGUGAAAUGCGUAGAGAUCUGGAGGAACAUCAGUGGCGAAGGCGGCCACCGGGCCCAAUAAUGACUUUGAGGCACGAAAGCGUGGGGAGCAAACAGG
This 253-nucleotide ribosomal RNA is filed under the name uncultured bacterium. RNAcentral's name for it is "partial 16S ribosomal RNA". It matches the Rfam family "Bacterial small subunit ribosomal RNA", at positions 524 to 776 of the family's 1533-position model. The record is from RNAcentral.